Long non-coding RNA from Ceratina calcarata, 598 nucleotides. RefSeq lists it as uncharacterized. The transcript has 2 exons. Lineage: Eukaryota; Metazoa; Arthropoda; Insecta; Hymenoptera; Apidae. The record is from RefSeq and is a predicted model, not a curated record.
UAGUCAUCCACCUCGUCGCUGUGAAAAUUACUGAAGUAAAGUUGUCAGAUUAAUUACUCGCGACCGUUGUCCGCACGAGAUUAUCGAGAUGAGUCUGCAUGUAACAAUUACCGGAAAAGCUAAUUAUAUUAAGAAUUGGACACCUGAAACAAAUAUUUCGCAACUAAUUGAAAUAUUAAAUUGCAAUUCACGUUAAAGAUAAUUAUUUCGUAUUGUGCAAAAGCAAUCAAUUACUCCUUAAAUCUGACACAUACGGCUCUUAUUCUGUAUCAUCAUUUCGUAAGACUUUAUCUGAACGCUACAAACUGACCGUGACAAUGACGCAGCUAAAUUUCGACGUUGAUACGCGUGACGAUAACAGUAAUGAAAAGACACUUAAAAUGUUUAAGCUAAUCCAAAAUGCUAUUCCGAGACCUUGAGCACAUCGAGAAGAAUGAUUUAAAUCAAUCAAUUUGACCCCAAUUUUAGUCGUCAAUGAAUACGUUACGCACAAACACACCAAUACAGACGAAAUGAGAGGAAAAGGAAGGAGUGAUACCACAUUGUGUAAUUGUUGUACAUAUCUAAAUACAUUGUAUGCAAUCUGCUCAUCUUUAUA